Molecule: ribosomal RNA, 237 nt
Filed under: uncultured Actinomycetales bacterium
Lineage: Bacteria; Bacillati; Actinomycetota; Actinomycetes; Actinomycetales
Description: partial 16S ribosomal RNA
Rfam family: Bacterial small subunit ribosomal RNA
Source: RNAcentral
UACGUAGGGUGCAAGCGUUGUCCGGAAUUACUGGGCGUAAAGAGCUCGUAGGUGGUUUGUCACGUCGUCUGUGAAAUUCCACAGCUUAACUGUGGGCGUGCAGGCGAUACGGGCUGACUUGAGUACUGUAGGGGUAACUGGAAUUCCUGGUGUAGCGGUGGAAUGCGCAGAUAUCAGGAGGAACACCGAUGGCGAAGGCAGGUUACUGGGCAGUUACUGACGCUGAGGAGCGAAAGC